GAAGAAAAAAUCCCAAGAAACCUAAAGCUUUGGCACUUCAACCUGUUGGGUAGGUUCCAUAUCCAAAAUAAAACUGAGUUUUUUUUAUCAAACUCACCCAUAAGACCACUGCAAAUUCCUUUUCGAUUCUCAUGAUUUAUGAAGAGACAAUUACAUUUUGCAAUAGUAAGGAUCAUUCCAGUAACACCUACCCAACUGGCCACAUUAAUGAAGUGCUGAAUUGCAGAAUUCAACUUAAGUUCAUGAAAGACCAGCUACAUAGGACUAGCGAGCCACUACUCGUGCUCCACUCUAGAUACUCCAAAGAAACAUACCAACCUAAUACUGCAGUGAUGAAGCUGCUUCAUGCUAAUCCACAUUGUUCAAUUGCUUUUUCUUUCUCAAAGGUCUCAAAGUACUGAUAAAUGAUGGUGACGGUGAGAAGAAUCCCGGUCCAAAGGCAGACUUCAUAGACAUUUUUCAACUUGCAAUAAUUCCGGCAAAUUUCAGUUUUCUUGCAUCUAGCAUAUGCACCUGUUUUGUAUACAAAGUAACGAGCGAUUGAAUCAAAAUUGGUAAAACAGAGCACACCAGUGACAAUUACCCAUGCCCUUAUCGCCAACAAUGACAAGCUUGAAGCCCGGGUGAUUGAACAUCUGCUGAUUCGGCAAAGCUUGAAAGAGACGCAAGGGAAACAACAACAAUUAAAACAACAAACCAAAUGAGAUAAAAAAAAAUCCAAACUUUGCGAUCACGUAACCAGAUCGCUCAGCUCCAGAACCCCAAAAGAAACAGCAUCUGACACGAGCUAUUGAUAUAAGAAUGGAUGCGCAAAAAAUGGAAUGAUGAAAAGGAAAGAAUGGACCAUCAGCGAGCGAAACUUACUGAGAAUGGACCGAUUCUAAUACCAAAACCAAUGAACCCGAAGAAAAUUCAAUCACUCAAGAUAAACAGAGACCCAAGCAGCAUCACCGACACCGUUGGUCCAACCGAAGUCUCCCACAGGAAUACAAGGCAAGAAGCCAAUUUCCACUUAAAACCCACCACAUUAUCCGCAAAAAACGAAAGCCACAUUCCAAUUUAAACGAACAACAAGUGCCCAAAACACCCAUCCUUUGCCACAAGAGAAAAAAGGAGGGGGGCAAAAAACGCAUUUACCACGUCGUGUCGGUCGGGGACUUCCAGACGGCGAGGCGGGUCCAGGCGACGACCUUCCCGGAGGGCAAGUCCCUGGCCUCGACGAGAGUCGAGACGAUCCCGAUUAGCUGGACGGAGUUAGUGAGCUCCUUCCUCCACUGGAUCUCCUGGGGCCUCGGGUACGCGGCUACCUGGAGGGAGCACCUCUACCGGGCAUUGCGGGUCGGCGCGAAUGAGAGGAGGCGCGAGUUCGGAGAAGACCCGGAAGGGAUUUGGGAAGGGGAAGGGGAGGGGUUUUCGGCGACGGACGACGACGAUCGACUGAUUCGGCAGCGGCUAGGGUUCCGGCGUUGAGACGAGGGGUGGCAACGACGACGGAGAGGCGGAGGCGCGUCGAUCGAAGGGCAGCAAUGGAAUCCACGAGAAGGCGCAGUAGUCGGAGAAGCAGCCGAAGGGGAGGGUUUUCACUUUUCAGCAACGUGUUUGAGUGUUUGUGUUUGGUUGGCUUGUUUGGAACAGGUGUUAACGUG
RNAcentral lists this long non-coding RNA (1646 nucleotides) under Eucalyptus grandis. RNAcentral's name for it is "long non-coding RNA (EGRA_LNC002946)". The record is from RNAcentral. Lineage: Eukaryota; Viridiplantae; Streptophyta; Magnoliopsida; Myrtales; Myrtaceae.